RNAcentral lists this ribosomal RNA (497 nucleotides) under uncultured bacterium. Its description in RNAcentral is "partial 16S ribosomal RNA". It matches the Rfam family "Bacterial small subunit ribosomal RNA", at positions 28 to 507 of the family's 1533-position model. The record is from RNAcentral.
GAUGAACGCUGGCGGCGUGCCUAAUACAUGCAAGUCGAGCGAACAGACGAGGAGCUUACUCCUCUGACGUUAGCGGCGGACGGGUGAGUAACACGUGGAUAACCUACCUAUAAGACUGGGAUAACUUCGGGAAACCAGAGCUAAUACCGGAUAACAUGUUGAACCGCAUGGUUCAACAGUGAAAGACGGUCUUGCUGUCACUUAUAGAUGGAUCCGCGUCGCAUUAGCUAGUUGGUAAGGUAACGGCUUACCAAGGCAACGAUGCGUAGCCGGCCUGAGAGGGUGAUCGGCCACACUGGAACUGAGACACGGUCCAGACUCCUACGGGAGGCAGCAGUAGGGAAUCUUCCGCAAUGGGCGAAAGCCUGACGGAGCAACGCCGCGUGAGUGAAGAAGGUCUUCGGAUCGUAAAACUCUGUUAUUAGGGAAGAACAAAUGUGUAAGUAACUAUGCACGUCUUGACGGUACCUAAUCAGAAAGCCACGGCUAACUACGUG